UAUCAAACGUAGAAGAGGACCAGUAAAAUGAUUUCGUCUAUUCAAGAGAAGGUGCCAAGUGGUGUGAGGCAGCUAUAGAUGAGCAUUUGAACCUGCCUCGGAGUUCUGCAUCAGAAACGGUGCAGCGGUUCAAUACCGUUACCAUGAAAGAGAGUGAAGCUUUGCUUUGAAUAAGGGUGGUACCGCCAGAGAUGGUCCCUUAU
Molecule: non-coding RNA, 203 nt
Filed under: Bacillus sp. (in: firmicutes)
Lineage: Bacteria; Bacillati; Bacillota; Bacilli; Caryophanales; Bacillaceae
Description: Bacillus sp. T-box sequence
Rfam family: T-box leader
About the family: Uncharged tRNA acts as the effector for transcription antitermination of genes in the T-box leader family. T-boxes are found upstream of many aminoacyl-tRNA synthetase genes and some amino acid biosynthetic genes usually in Gram-positive bacteria.
Source: RNAcentral